RNAcentral lists this long non-coding RNA (540 nucleotides) under Homo sapiens (human). RNAcentral's name for it is "HSALNT0295735". Lineage: Eukaryota; Metazoa; Chordata; Mammalia; Primates; Hominidae. The record is from RNAcentral.
AUGAGUAUAGAGCAGGAGUGAAGGCAGGAGGCCAGGGAAGGGAUGCUCUCAGAGGGGUGUGCUGAUGGAGACGCUAGAUUCCAAAUUAGGGUGUGAUACGGGGCCAACCGAGAAGAGAAACUACGGUGUCAAAUCCCACGCCCCCCACCCCAAAGGCAUGCAAGGGUCAGAAAGCAAGUUGCCCGCCCUCGCUCACUUGGCCCCGCACGUUGAAGCCGUAGCCGGACUCGGACUUGACGAUGCGCACGACCCGCGGGCCGCCGCCUCCCCCGCCGCCGUUCCCGGCGCAGUGGAGCCCAGACCCCCCGCCGCCGCCGCCACCUCCGUUCCUGUGAGGGGCUGAGGGAUGAAUCCCUUCCCCGUCCUCGUCCGCCAUCUUGCGAGCAGGCGAGCCGUACCCCCGCCCCCUACGCCUCCAAGGCCUCCCGGCGCGUGCUCGCCCUGCCUGGCAGCCGGACGACCCCCGACGCGCGCGCCCGAUCCGCCGGCCGCGGGACCGACUCGGCCACCGAGCUGCUGGCGCGGGGUGAAGAGGAGGCA